AUACUUACCUGGCAGGAGAGAUACCAUGAUCAUGAAGGUGGUUUUUCCAGGGAGAGGCUCAUUCAUUGCACUCCGGAUGUGCUGACCCCUGCGAUUUCCCCAAAUGUGGGAAACUCGACUGCAUAAUUUGUGGUAGUGGGGGACUGCGUUUGCUCCUCCCUG
Molecule: small nuclear RNA, 162 nt
Filed under: Echinops telfairi (small Madagascar hedgehog)
Lineage: Eukaryota; Metazoa; Chordata; Mammalia; Afrosoricida; Tenrecidae
Description: U1 spliceosomal RNA (ENSETEG00000021798.1)
Rfam family: U1 spliceosomal RNA
About the family: U1 is a small nuclear RNA (snRNA) component of the spliceosome (involved in pre-mRNA splicing). Its 5' end forms complementary base pairs with the 5' splice junction, thus defining the 5' donor site of an intron.
Source: RNAcentral